UACGUAGGAUGCGAGCGUUAUCCGGAAUUACUGGGCGUAAAGAGUGUCGUAGGCGGCUUUGUAAGUGUGUGGUGAAAGCCUUCGGCUCAACCGAAGAACUGCUGCGCAUACUGCAAGGCUUGAGGACGCUAGAGGAUGCUGGAAUUCUCGGUGGAGGGGUGAAAUCCGUUGAUAUCGAGAAGAACACCAAGGGCGAAGGCAAGCAUCUGGGGCGUAUCUGACGCUGAUGAACGAAAGCUAGGGGAGCGAA
This 250-nucleotide ribosomal RNA is filed under the name uncultured bacterium. Its description in RNAcentral is "partial 16S ribosomal RNA". It matches the Rfam family "Bacterial small subunit ribosomal RNA", at positions 524 to 772 of the family's 1533-position model. The record is from RNAcentral.